Molecule: ribosomal RNA, 521 nt
Filed under: Colletotrichum sp.
Lineage: Eukaryota; Fungi; Ascomycota; Sordariomycetes; Glomerellales; Glomerellaceae
Description: eukaryotic LSU rRNA
Rfam family: 5.8S ribosomal RNA (bases 170-323)
Source: RNAcentral
AGUUACCGCUCUAUAACCCUUUGUGAACAUACCUAUAACUGUUGCUUCGGCGGGUAGGGUCUCCGUGACCCUCCCGGCCUCCCGCCCCCGGGCGGGUCGGCGCCCGCCGGAGGAUAACCAAACUCUGAUUUAACGACGUUUCUUCUGAGUGGUACAAGCAAAUAAUCAAAACUUUUAACAACGGAUCUCUUGGUUCUGGCAUCGAUGAAGAACGCAGCGAAAUGCGAUAAGUAAUGUGAAUUGCAGAAUUCAGUGAAUCAUCGAAUCUUUGAACGCACAUUGCGCCCGCCAGCAUUCUGGCGGGCAUGCCUGUUCGAGCGUCAUUUCAACCCUCAAGCUCUGCUUGGUGUUGGGGCCCUACGGCUGACGUAGGCCCUCAAAGGUAGUGGCGGACCCUCCCGGAGCCUCCUUUGCGUAGUAACUUUACGUCUCGCACUGGGAUCCGGAGGGACUCUUGCCGUAAAACCCCCAAUUUUCCAAAGGUUGACCUCGGAUCAGGUAGGAAUACCCGCUGAACUUAA